AAUCAGCAGCCCUGUAUGCCUGCGGUUUUAAGAAAGACGCUCGAUAUUGUGUAUAUAUUUUGAUUAGUAUCCCAUUAGGAAUAUGUAAUUCCAAGCUUUUGGUUUUUUAAAUUAAUAAGGACAACGUUGAAUUUUGGUGUUUGCAUGAAUUUCUGAGAAUAUGAUUUAAAUUUUUCUUCAUAGUAUUGUAAUUUUUCUUUUAUUUGCGUUGUGCUAGAUGAAUUCCUUAAAUAACGUUUGUAAAAACUGCAAAGGAAAAAAAAGUGUGUUCUACACUAACCCAAGGAAGCAGCGGAGGAGGGGGGGAAGGGCGCAGGAGAGACAGGCUGCACCGGGCGAAGAGGGAGGGGAGCUGCCUCAGGCUCAGGUUGGCUGGGCAGCCAGGCCUGGCCAUUCCGAAGAGACAGAACUACGCACCUCUUCCGACCCUAGCAGCCGAGAGGUUCUAGGCACGCUGACUGCACUUUAGACACACCCACACUUGGAGCCGCGGAAUUGGGACUGGGGGGGAGCAGCAGAGCCCGGGAGGGGACGGGCGACCGAGUGACUGACGUUCUCAGGGACCAAUGAACAGCAUGAUGCCUAGUCCUGAAGGUUGGGAACAUCUAGAGUAGAUAGACCAGAAGAAGGUACAAGUGACUCCAGCUGAAUUCUCAAGAUCUAGGUGACAGAUACCAUGCAUUGAAGUCUUUUCCAGGAUUCUACAAGGGAAAUGACCAAUGAACAAGGACUUCAGCCACAGCCUCAGUCCCUGGAAAAGCAUCCUAUUAAGUAUUACAAGGUGGAGACAGGAAUGACCAGCAGGAUGAAUACAGAGAGGACUGGCGAGACUUACAUGAACUGAUGCUAAGUGAAAUGAGCAGAACCAGGAGAUCAUUAUAUACCUCAACAACGAUACUGUUUGAGGAUGUAUUCUGAUGGAAGUGGAUCUCUUCAAUAAAGAGAGCUAAUUCAGUUUCAAUUGAUCAAGGAUGGACAGAAGCAGCUACACCCAAAGAAAGAACACUGGGAAAUGAAUAUAAACUGCUUGCAAGAUGAGGGAAGAGGAAGAAGGGAAGGAAGAGAAAAUAAGUACUUGUUAACUGAAAAAUAAAAUGAAAUGAAAAAAUGUAUAAA
Long non-coding RNA from Antechinus flavipes (yellow-footed antechinus), 1116 nucleotides. RefSeq lists it as uncharacterized. The record is from RefSeq and is a predicted model, not a curated record. NCBI's taxonomy places the organism in Eukaryota, Metazoa, Chordata, Mammalia, Dasyuromorphia, Dasyuridae. The transcript has 5 exons.